GCGAACGAGGGGCCAGCGGCGGCGGUAAUGCGUUGGGGGCAAGCGUUGUCCGGAUUUAUGUGGCGUAAAGGGCGUGUAGGCGGCCAUGUAGGUCCGGUGUGAAAACUCGAGGCUCAACCUCGAGACGCCGAUGGAAACCAUGUGGCUAGAGUCCGGAAGAGGAGAGUGGAAUUCCUGGUGUAGCGGUGAAAUGCGCAGAUAUCAGGAAGAACACCCGUGGCUAAGGCGGCUCUCUAGUACGGUACUGACGCUGAGACGCGAAAGCGUGGGGAGCAAACAGGAUUAGAUACCCUAGUAGUC
RNAcentral lists this ribosomal RNA (300 nucleotides) under uncultured Lactobacillus sp. RNAcentral describes it as "bacterial SSU rRNA". It matches the Rfam family "Bacterial small subunit ribosomal RNA", at positions 496 to 795 of the family's 1533-position model. The record is from RNAcentral. Lineage: Bacteria; Bacillati; Bacillota; Bacilli; Lactobacillales; Lactobacillaceae.